Molecule: ribosomal RNA, 253 nt
Filed under: uncultured bacterium
Lineage: Bacteria
Description: partial 16S ribosomal RNA
Rfam family: Bacterial small subunit ribosomal RNA
Source: RNAcentral
GACAGAGGGUGCAACCGUUGUUCGGAAUCACUGGGCGUAAAGCGCACGUAGGCGGACUCUUAAGUCGGUGGUGAAAUCCUGGAGCUCAACUCCAGAACUGCCUUCGAUACUGAGAGUCUCGAGUCCGAGAGAGGUGAGUGGAACUGCGAGUGUAGAGGUGAAAUUCGUAGAUAUUCGCAAGAACACCAGUGGCGAAGGCGGCUCACUGGCUCGGUACUGACGCUGAGGUGCGAAAGCCAGGGGAGCAAACGGG